RNAcentral lists this ribosomal RNA (258 nucleotides) under uncultured bacterium. RNAcentral's name for it is "partial 16S ribosomal RNA". It matches the Rfam family "Bacterial small subunit ribosomal RNA", at positions 1244 to 1500 of the family's 1533-position model. The record is from RNAcentral.
GAGAAGCAAGACCGUGAGGUGGAGCAAAACUCAAAAACUUGUCUCAGUUCGGAUUGUAGGCUGAAACUCGCCUACAUGAAGCUGGAGUUGCUAGUAAUCGCGAAUCAGCAUGUCGCGGUGAAUACGUUCCCGGGCCUUGUACACACCGCCCGUCACACCAUGAGAGUUGGCAAUACCCAACGUACGUGAUCUAACCCGCAAGGGAGGAAGCGUCCUAAGGUAGGGUCAGCGAUUGGGGUGAAGUCGUAACAAGGUAAC